Molecule: non-coding RNA, 8969 nt
Organism: Equus caballus (horse)
Lineage: Eukaryota; Metazoa; Chordata; Mammalia; Perissodactyla; Equidae
Source: RefSeq, a predicted model, not a curated record
AAAAAAAAAAAGACAGAAAGAGGCAAAGUCAGUUGGAGUGGGGAAAACAAGAUCCCAAACUUACUCCCAAGUCCUUUCCUUGUCCUCUUCCCCUAGGAUUUGGGAGGAAAGUGCAUGUGAGGAAGCAGUUCAGAUUAUGCAGAAUUCACUUCAAUUUAAAUAUCAGGCCAUGAUGAUAUGACUGCAAGGGUUAGGCCUACCGUUAUAUAUGUUCUCCUUUUUAGCGUUUGUUACAAAUGGGCCAGUUUGUUCAUUUCUUCCUUCAUUUCUUCCUUCCCUCAUUCAUUUAGCUAUCAAGCAUUAAUUGCAUUAUCAUUUUGCUUGGAGCUGAUGGUGAUGUAAGGCAUGGGCAGAGCCGACAAGGAACCUGUGAAUGGGCAUUGCUGUCCAUUGCUCACAGAAUUCAAUCUACUUGGGGUAUAUUCAGUAAAUUAGUAAAUUGAAUAAAUAACUUGAUUAUUGCACAUCAUGAUGGCUGCUUUGAAAGGAAUGAACAGGAUACAAUGGUAGAGAACAAUGCUGGGGAGAAAACUACUUAGAGUGUUCAGGGACAGCCUCUUUGAGGAGGGGACAUGGAGGUUCAAACUUAAGAUAAAAAGGGGUCAGCCAUGCAAAGAUGGGAGGAGAACAUGGCAUGCAGAGGAAACAGCAUGUGCAAAGACUUUAGGCUUCGAGGUUUGCACUUCUUGAGGUGUGAAGGAGCUUGUUAUUUUCAAGGCACAGAAAGAAAACUAUUAUUUCUUCCACAGCUGGAGCUUUUGUGAGUAAGAGAGAGGGGCACAAACUGGGAGGAUGGGUAGGUGAGCGCCAGGUUAUGCAGUCUUUUAAGGUGAGGGAAAUAGCUUGGAUUUUCUUUAAAAUGAAAUGUGAAGCCAUUAAAAGGGCUUAGGCAGGGGAGAAAUAUGAACUAGUUUGUGUUUUAAAAAGAAUGCUGGGACUGCUGUGUGAAGAACAGAUGCAAGCGGGCAAGAGAGGAAGCAAGGAGAGCCAUAGAGAGGCUCCUGCGCUGUGAAAGGGCAGUGGUUUGUGUGGGGUGGUGACAGAAAUGUUCGGGUGGGGAGGGAGCAGAUUGUGCAAGCAGAAUCGCCAGGGCUGAGCAUGGGAGCUGUUCUCUGCUCAUCCUUCUGUCCACCUGUGUGGAGCCUGCGGCUCUGAGAAGACAGUGUGAAAAUCACUAAUCUACAUAGUGUAAAAACAAGUUUUGACUGACAUUUUCAGACAUGUGACAAUUAUUUGACUGAACCGACUAGAUUACCUAGUGGUCGAAUCUAUAAUUUUUCAAAAGCUAAGAUUCUAGUUUAUCAUAUUCAGAAGUUACAAGACAGUUUUUGAUGAUGGAAAUAUAUUUAUUGAGGUAUAUAAAACCUGUUUACCACACGUUUUAUGUCAAGUGUUCUUUGGAGGAAAUAAUUUCUAAAUCCUUGACUUUCAAUCUGAUGAUUGAAAUCUCAAGAUUGAGGGGAAAGCAUAAAGAAGGGAAAAGACCGCCAGAAGAAAGAGAGAGCAAAGAUUUAAUGGCACACACAAAAAAAUCAAACCAGGUCAUGUUGCCCCACUCGAUCUCAAUUUUUCAAAACUGGACCCCUUCUUUCAACGCACCAUGUUUGGAAGGCAAAGACAAUUGCUUGUGUGCUUUUCAGCCUUAGACAGGGUGUGUUUCUGUAUUUCAUUUUGCUGCAGUAGCACACACCCCGACAGAGCCCCGGCUUGAUGAUUGUAAUUCUCCUUCUGUGGGACUUCCAGCAGGGCUGUCCUGUCACUUGCUGCUCAGGCAGAAUGCGGCAGUACAUCUGUGGCUGAUUGGAGAAUGGGCAAUCAUAUUACCCCAUCCUGUAUAAUUUGAUAUGUGGGGGUCACUGAGGACUCUGGCAAUGUUUCUUUGUUUCUCUCUCUCUCUUUCUCUUUUUUUUAAAAGGAUGAAAAUUGCAUUUCCUCUGUAUCCACGCCUGUCUAUUUUCACAAUCAUUUAUCUUUUCUUAGGGAGAAUUGUGUGGCAUUUUACGUACUCUCAAGUCACACGUCAUUUUAGGCUAAAGGUAUUUAUACUGUUUGUAACAUGAAUGACAAGAAGAAAAUGAGACUAUGUGGUAAGAUUAUGAAGCAGUGUUUUAAUAGAUUUUAUUUCUACUUAAUCAAAGAGGCUUAUAUCCCGUGGAAGGAUAGAAUUAUUCUAUCCUAUUCUGUUCUAUCCUGUGCUGUUCUGUUCUGUUCCAUUCCAUUCUGUUUCAUUCGCUUCCGUUCCAUUCUUCUGCUCACCGGAUUCUUAAGUCUGGCAGCAGCCUGGAAGAGAAAGAGAGCUGCUGCUGCUGCAGCUUUGUUUGGUUGGCAAUGUAGUUUUUGACCCACAUGGUUAGUGAAUGUUGGGAAAGCUGUGGAUGCAGAGGUCAAGUCAGGAAUCAUGAUGCUGUACACUUUGCUGGAUCACCAGAGUACCAUAUCUGAAGAUUUAUCUUAUACAAAUACAGUGGAAACAAUGUGUAAGGGACUAAAGCAUAUUUGAGUGAGAUCUAAGAAAAUCCCAAGAAGAAGAUAUCUAACCAGAUGAAGGUGCACCUGCCGGAAGCAUCGUCCAGAACUGCUAGUCACUGAAACUGCAAAUUCACAGAACCCUUUGCUUUGAGCUAGAUUAUUGCUCUAAGUCCUGCAAGCUACAUAAAGACAAAUCAGCUUAGCAUACAUAAUCGUCAUCUGAGGUAGAUGCUAUUCUUCCCAUUAUGCUGUUGAAGAAAUGGAGACUUAAGAGAAGUGAUUUACUGUUGGAAAGACAAGGCAGAAGGUACGUCAGAGAGGUUUGAAGUAUGGGAAGGACUCAGCCCACAACUGAUGGCUCCGAAGAUGAAGGGGCCACAAGCCAGGGAAAAUGGGCAGCCUCUGGGAGUUGAGACCAAACCAUGGCCAACAGCUGAUAAGGUAACACAGACUUUAGUCCUACAGCCUCAUGGACCAGAAUUCUGUCGACAACCCGACUAACCUGGAAACUAUUCCCCCCAGCACCUCCAGAAAGGACACAGCCCUGCAGGCACUUUGAUUUCUGCCUGUGAGACAUUUAGCAGGGAACCAGCUGAGCCAUGCUGUGCCCAGAUUCCUGACUCAUGGAAAUCAUGAGAUAAUAAAUUUGUUGUUUUAAGCUGCUAAAUUUGUAGUAAUCUGUUGCAGUGGCAAUAGAAUGCAAAUACAGUCACAAAAGCUGUUUAGCAGCGACUCAGGUGAUCCCAAGUUCCAUACUGUUUCCGUGGCUGCCCAGGACAGCACCCUGGACUGUGCUCUCUAAGGGCAAGAGGGCCAUCUGCCCCAGAUGUACACAGGAUGAUCAAUUAGGUACGGGAAAAAAAAGUCUCAACUCUUAAACUUAUAGUUUUUUGUAGGUUUUAUAAUAUAAUUAAUGUAUUAGUAUAGGAGAAUAUUUAUAAUUUGCAUAUUCACAUAUUUAUAAUAUUCUUCACAAUUGCAUAUUGCCUGCUCAAUUGAGUCUUACUGAUAGGGUUGCAUGAUUAAAAAUGCAUGUUGAACAGUGACCUAGUGGAGCAAGAACAGAAUGUAGAGGCAUGCUCUAGUGGAAAGCUCACUGUAUUUGGAGUGGGAGCCAUUGAUUUUAUUUCUACCUAUGAUGGCAAUUAGCCCAGUGACUUUGGCCAAGCCACUCCAUGUCUCUGGCUUACAUGUCCUCAUGGUACCUUAAGUAGGCAUCCUGGAUGCUCCCUGAACUUUACUUGAGAAUAUAGAGAUGCCACGUUGACGUCCAAUCAGUAACUACCAUCUCUGAACCGUGCCUUUUUUCUGAUUGAGGGAAAAAAAGAAAAACAGACAAAAAACAGGUUUUGCUGAGUUGGCUGGUUGUUUGGACCAAAUGAUUGUGUGUUUGACUGAACUGAUUUAAUACAAUAAGCUACUUCUGGGCAGGUAUUUUUCUUAUUCAUUUUUCUUUUUAAUCUGCCAAACUUCUAUCCUGGUACUUUGCACCAGAUUAAUAGUAAGAUUUUGUGCAAUGAAUGGAUGGACUUAAACUGGUAAAAAAAAAAGUAUUAAGCUUAAGAAGAAGUAUUAACAACAUAAAUUAUAGUGAUCUCUCUUAUUCAUUACCAGGGCCCAGGUUGCCUGACUGCUUCUGUUAGACUACAGAAUCUCGGGGGACUAGCAGUAAAAUUGAUGUCUCUAGGGAUGUUCUAACAGAACUGUUGGAAUGAUAGAGCUACAUGGAUAUAGUACCUAUCAUGCAUCAGAUAUUACUCUAAGUACUUUCUAUGUAUUAACUCAUUUAAUGCUCAUAAUAACUGUUUGGUAGUAAUAUUACUUUCUUACUACAAGUGAGUAAAGCAAGACACAGAGAGGUUAAAUAACCUGCUCCAGGUCACACAGCUAGCAAUUGGUGGGGCAGAUCCAAACCCAGCAGUCUGGCUUCAGAGUCUGUGCCUCUCACCCCUGUCCUCUGCUGCUUCUCCAGGGUGGGAAGUAGUGCGGUAGGCUUUGGAGGGCUCUUUUCUUGAACCCUUCAAGCAUAAGCAUUUCUUAAACUUCUAACCCACUAGGAAUAAUGCGGACCAGCUUCCUGUCCACAGGGACUCAGAGCAUGAGCCCAGCACGGGAAAGCCCAGAUUGAGAUGUCCGGUGUUGCCAUGGGGAGGAGUAGGCGGGGAGACCGUGGCACAGAGAGCUCUCUGGUCUGAGCAAAAUUAAUUAAGCUUUCUGAGCCACAGUUUCCUUGUAUAUCAACAUGGAGCUGACAAUACCUACUGGAUGAAGCUGUUGUGAGAUUAAAUGAAAUAAUGGGUGUAAAGCAUAGCGUUUCAGGCAUGGAACACAGCAGGUGUUUAAUAAAUCUUUCUUGAACUGUGCUGCACCCAUGGUCUGAGUGACACUGGAGCCCAGAAGAUGUUAACACACAGGAGAGAAAUGUCCUACUGCCCACAGUAUAGCUUUGCCUACACAGAGCGCAAAUGCACCAUGUCCUAAACCUAUCCCAUGAUCUUCUUUCCUGCUGUCCUGAUCUUCCUGUCAUCCUGGGUUAUGAACCUCUCUUCAUGACUCGCCUGUUCCUCCAGUAUCGUAGGUUGGAAACCUCACAGGCAUAUCCAAACAAUUGCAGGGCUUUGUUGAGUCUGCCUCUAUAAUGUCAGUACGAUUCAUCUUCCUCUCUGUUGCCUUAUGAUUAAGGAUUUAGGUCAGGUCCUCAUUAGCAGGCUUGGAUUAUAGGCACAGCCUCUUAACCUAUCUCCCUAUCUUCAAACCUCCAUGUAGCUGCUAUUUAUCUGUCUAAAACACAAGCCAACAUAUUGCUUCCCUAUGAAAAGCUUUUUCUACCUUUGCACUUUAGUGAGGCCGUGUGUAAUCUGGCUCUUUUCAUUGUCACAUCCUGCCCAGGAGCAAGACAUGGACCUGGCUGCAGCAACCUUGUGCUGUCUCUGGGUCCAUCAGUGUGACGGUAGUGGCUAGAUGGUGUGCACAGCAGCUGGGUAAAGUAGCCGCCAGCACUGAGGGUGCUCAGAGUGACUAGUCAGAGACCAAAAACGACUAGCUGCAGUCCUUGCCAGGACCAUUAAUUUCUCCUUCCUUUCCACUUUUUAAACAUUUUAUUGUCACCAACUCUUCCACCAAAGUAUAUACAAGAAGAACAAAAACCAGCCCUUGAGAAUUUGCAGAAAUCCUAGGGAGGAUUCUUGAGAGAAUCUCCAUAUCAAGAAGCUGGGAGAUACCACGUAUAUGAGCUUUCGUUUCCAAAUACACGAUUUAUAAGCCCAGAGAUCUUUUAGAUCACUAGGCUGUAAUUUAAUGCACAUAAAAGGAAUGGUUUAAUAGCUAUCUUUGUCACCUCUAAAAUGUAGACACUAUAGUCUCUUCCGUUUUAUUUUCCACCAAAAGCAUAUAUUUAAAUGUUAAUUUAUUUUCUUUUCAUUUGUAGGACCCAACCACGUCACUCUCUGCUAAUUUCUUCUCAUUGCUGAGGCAAAAGACCAAAAUUUUACUUAUUUGUUAAAUUUAAAACACCUCUAUAAUACUAAUUGUGUAUUAGGCACUGUUCUAAGAACUUUACAAAUCUUAGCUCAUUAAACUCUAUAAGGUAGGUGUAGUCAUGCAUUGCUCAAUGAUGGGGAUACAUUCUGAGAAAAGCACUGUUAGGGGAUUUUGUCAUUGUUUGAACAUCAUAGAUUGUACUUAUACAAACCUAGAUGGUGUAGCCUACUACACACCUAGGCUAUAUGAUACUAAUCUUAUGGGACCACUGUAGUAUAUGUCAUCCAUCAUUGACUGAAAUGUUGUCAUAUGGCACGUGUCUGCACUAUUAUCAUCACCCUUAUUUUUCAGAUGAGGAAACUGAGGCACAGGAAGGUUAAGUAACUGUGUGCUGUAACACAGCUAGCAAGCCUUCAUCAUCUGGCUCCUGCCUAUGUCUCAGACCUCAUCUCGUUUCUCCCUAUUGCUCUCUCUUUUUGGUUAUCUUUGUGUCUCUGUACAAGUAUAUUGAGCCUGCAAUACAUUCUUCCCUGCUAUUCACUUGUUUGGUUCCCAGUGGUGGUAAUACUAUAUUAUGAAUGUAUUUGAAAACGGCAGAAUUCUAACAGCCACAAUUCCCUUGACAGUGGGAUUUGAUGAUUCUUAAUCAAAAGGCCUAAGGUGGUUUUUAUUUACCUCUCUGACAUCUGUGCUUCCCUGAGUCUUCCGCAUCUCUGUUGGGAGGACAACUGUUCACCCCUAUUUUAGGCUUCCCUAUUUGUAUAGGGAGGACCACCAUACAUACUUGUCUUCUCUUUUCCCUGUCUCUUUUGGCAGGACUACUAUACAGCCAUGCGUUAAGGCCUAACACCUUGGAGUUUUCCUUGACUCCUCUCUGGCUCCCAUACCCCACAUCCCAUCUCUCAGUGGAUCCUGUCAGUUCUACCUUCAUAACCCGUCCUGAACCUAACUACCUCUCUCCUCCACCUCUACUGGAUUAAUCCUAGCCACUAUCAGCUCUUGCCUGGACCACUGCAAGACCUCCUCUUGGUCUUGCUUCUUCUUUUGCCCCUUCCAGUAUACUCUCCACAGGCAGCCAGAGUGAUCAGGUCACUCCUCUGUGCUCACCUCCAAUGGCUUUUAGUAACAUCCAGAACACAAUCCAGUGUCUAACCAUGGCUUAUGAAGUCCUUCAUGAUCUUGCCCACAUCUAUCUCUUCAUCUUCAUUUCAAUCAUGUUUCCCUUGCUUGCUGCUUUCAGGUCCACUGGAACCCUUCCUUCUGCUCUAGGAGCACUCCAAGAGACCUCUCACCUCGGACACUAUGUUCACUUGCUAUUCCCUUCUGGAACCCUCUUUCCUCAGAUUUGUCCGUGGAUGCUCCUUCUAGUCUUCAUGUCUCUGCUCAAACUUUAUAUCCUCAGAGAGGCCUUUUCUGUCCCAUUGUUCUUUCUCCCCUAACCCUGUUUAUUUUCCUUCAUAGUACCUGACCUUUUUUUUUUUUUUACUACAUAUUUAUUUGCUGUUCUCUGUCUAGAUGUACAGGGUUUCAGCACCUGGAAAAAUACCUGGCACACAUUAAGAGUUUAUUAAAUAUUUGAAAUAAAUGGAUGGAUGAAUUAUUGAAGAAUUGAAAAUGAAUACGGGAGAAGAGACAAUUAGAUACUUUCAAAAAGAUUUCUGCAGAGAGAAGCAAGGGAGCUAGAAGGCAGUCUAUCUAGGGAUGAAUCACUCCCCUUGAGAACAAAAGGAAAUUUAACUACUCAGGGAACAAAGUGAGUCCAAGGUGAGGGAGCCCUCCCUGCCCCUCUUUGUUUUAUCUGCCUGUUGCCUGUCUGUGGGGCCCCCAUCCUGCUGGUGGGAGGCUUAGGGAUGAGUACCUGAUUUGCCACUACCAAGCAGAACUGCUGUGCUUUCCUCUCUUCCUCUGUGCUUGGGGUCUCACUGGGAGUGGGCCAACAGAAGUUUGGUGCACAGGAUGGUAUUCUCUCCCAGGAUGGUUUGGAACGCACUGAGAGCCUAAUUCAUCCACUUGGGAGUGAGGUUCUUAAGGAGAAACUCAGUGCUUUGGCUGAAUAGCAGAGCCUUUUUCAGAGAAACUCUCCAAGGAGUUUCUACACAGGCUUCCUAGGGUAAAGCAGUUAUUUGUAGCAGUUUUAGGACUCUUUAUAUUCCAGUUUCAUCUCUUCUCAUUGAUUUUGCCAUUUGUGGCUUAUAAUGGAAAUGAAAAUAGCUGGUGCAGAUGGAAGAGUUACAAGAUGCUUCUCUGUAUCUUGUAGCUGGGGCACUCUUGGGGAAUCAGCUGAAUGAGUAUUUGCUUCCUAAACUCUUCUCUGGGUUUCACCAAGUUGGGGUCACUUGCAAGGUGAUCAUCAAUUCUGUGGAUUGGUUCAUAUUGUGCGGUGUGAAAACAGAUGAAAGAAUCUGGACCAUCCCCCAACAUAAAAGCUUAGACGAGAACAAAAAUAUAUAAGUGCUGACAAUUUAUACUAAUUUUAAGAAUCCACUUUGCUAAAACAGGAUGAAAAAAUACAUUACAUUGGAAUAACUUCCCUAUACCCAGUUAUUAGGGGACAAUGAAAUGUUCAUUUUACUGUAGCUUGAUUAUGAUGCUGACGUCAUAAUCAAGUCAAGAUAUAUAUGGUAGCAUCUCAUGUAUAUAGAGGUCAGCUUGGAACACAGCUUUGAUCUGGAAAAGUAAGCAUAAAAGGUCUGUGAUGAUAUGAAGCAGGAGACUCAUGUCCCUGCAUGAGAGCCAGGCCCCUUAGUACUUCCUAUUCCUGAUUCCCAUUCCCAUUUAGUAUUCUAGUCCCAACAUUUUCAGUUAUCUUCUUUUCCAAGCCCAGAGCAGCUAAGAAGUAGAAAAUUGGAAGAGGGCAAAGAAGGAUGCAAGUCAAAGUCACACUGAUGGGAGACAGGAAUGACAGCUGACAGCAAGGGAGGUGACAGCAAAGCUUAAGCAGCAAUGCAGGACUGCCAUAGACUUUGUCUGCAAGUCUAGGACAGGCAGAGUGGAAGUCUGUAUAUGGAAGAGGUAUUUUU